Molecule: ribosomal RNA, 440 nt
Filed under: uncultured bacterium
Lineage: Bacteria
Description: partial 16S ribosomal RNA
Rfam family: Bacterial small subunit ribosomal RNA
Source: RNAcentral
CCUACGGGAGGCAGCAGUGGGGAAUAUUGCACAAUGGGGGAAACCCUGAUGCAGCGACGCCGCGUGAGUGAAGAAGUAUUUCGGUACGUAAAGCUCUAUCAGCAGGGAAGAAAAUGACGGUACCUGACUAAGAAGCCCCGGCUAACUACGUGCCAGCAGCCGCGGUAAUACGUAGGGGGCAAGCGUUAUCCGGAUUUACUGGGUGUAAAGGGAGCGUAGACGGCAGCGCAAGUCUGGAGUGAAAUCCCAUGGCUUAACCAUGGAACUGCUUUGGAAACUGUGCAGCUGGAGUGCAGGAGAGGUAAGCGGAAUUCCUAGUGUAGCGGUGAAAUGCGUAGAUAUUAGGAGGAAUACUCAUUGCGAAGGCGACCUACUGGAACAUGACUGACGCUCAUGCACGAAAGCGUGGGGAGCAAACAGGAUUAGAUACCCGAGUAGCC